RNAcentral lists this ribosomal RNA (535 nucleotides) under Clostridioides difficile. RNAcentral's name for it is "partial 23S ribosomal RNA". It matches the Rfam family "Bacterial large subunit ribosomal RNA", at positions 1625 to 2171 of the family's 2925-position model. Lineage: Bacteria; Bacillati; Bacillota; Clostridia; Peptostreptococcales; Peptostreptococcaceae. The record is from RNAcentral.
AUCGAGGUUAAAGGUACCCGUACCGCAAACCGACACAGGUGGGUGAGGAGAGUAUCCUAAGGCCAGCGAGAGAACUGUUGUUAAGGAACUCGGCAAAAUGACCCCGUAACUUAGGGAUAAGGGGUGCCACCAUCAGGUGGCCGCAGAGAAUAGGCCCAAGCGACUGUUUACCAAAAACAUAGGUUUCUGCUAAGUCGCAAGACGAUGUAUAGGAGCUGACGCCUGCCCGGUGCUGGAAGGUUAAGGGGAUCUGUUAGAGCAAUCGAAGCAGUGAACUUAAGCCCCAGUAAACGGCGGCCGUAACUAUAACGGUCCUAAGGUAGCGAAAUUCCUUGUCGGGUAAGUUCCGACCCGCACGAAAGGCGUAACGAUUUGGGCACUGUCUCAACAACAGACUCGGUGAAAUUGUAAUUCCGGUGAAGAUGCCGGAUACCUGCGACAGGACGGAAAGACCCCAUGGAGCUUUACUGUAGCUUGACAUUGGGUCUUGGUACUACAUGUACAGGAUAGGUGGGAGGCUUUGAAACCAGGACGC